CUUGCCUGCAUGUACUACCUUUUGGUUAUGCUACUCGUAUCUUUGCUUUCGAUGUCUGUUUCUUUGCUUUCACUGACAGUCUUUUCGAUUGCGUGUUUUGGCAUUAUUUUUCCGUGAAGGGCGGGGUUUAGAGGGAGGCGUAGACUAUGAGUCUUCAUUGGCCCGCUAGUUUUGGAGUGACAGUUCGUCUUCAGCGCAAGCAAUUUGUUUUUCUUCAUAAUAUAAAAUUGCCAUACACCCAGGGAGGCUAUGCAAGAAAUGCAAUACAUUUUGGACAAUUAACGUUAGUAGUCAGAUUAUGUGGACCAGUGUAAUAUCACUCCGUCAUCGGUCAGGGCUAACAUACAUCUAAAUUGCCUAGAUGUAAUGCUAGCCUACAUCAAUCAUAACUACCAUGCUAAACUAUCCCUGGCUAUUUUUCUUGGCCAAGGCUAACGUUGAGCCAAAUCCUGCAAUCAUCCCAGCAGAGGCGACAGUCGUCAGGAACACUGCACCUUUCAUUAGCUGAAUUUUGUCUGUUUUUUUCUUUUGCCUACUUAAGUAGACGGUCUGACGUCACCACUACGCGUCAAAUCUUCCCUUUCUGUACCCGGAUGUUCUGAACAUGGUGUGUGUGUGUGUGAGAGAGAGAGAGCGAGAGUGAAAACCGUGACAACCCUAAAUAGCUAUUCCAAUACCUGAAGUCGAGACCAAAUAUUGCCUGAUACCAGCUGUUUGGUUGACAUGAUUUCAAAUUACAAUUUUCUUAUGUCCUCACAGUCUAUGGGGAGGCACAUUAUGGAGACGCUCCUGUACAGAUUACAGCAGGCUAUGCAAUGCCUUCCUCUGGUCCUUGAUUACUUAGUUUGUCCGCACCAUUGAGAUUAUAUUUAUCAGCUCACGGGUGGGCAUCAUUUGUGGAACAUUCCAACAGGAAUCUGUUCCAAAAACUUAGUAAAUAAGGUUGCCAACAAACAACGCAUACAAAGUUGUAUAGUGGCCGAAUAAAGUACCGUGUAGGGAGUGGGCUAUUUCAUUAAGUUUUCACUCACCACAUUUAUUCUGAAAAAGUUCUCAAACAUUAAGAAUAAGCUACGUGGUGAGUUGAUGCCUAUUCAGCUAUAUUACGCUAGUUGAAUUGAUCAUGCUACUUUGUAUACGUUGCUUGUACUUUGCAAAGUUUUUGGAACAGAUUCCUGUUGGAACGUUCCAGAAAUUAUACCCAUCCUCCGCUCACUAGCAAAUCAAGUAGACUUGCCACAAAAGGUAGUGCAGGGUUUCCCCAACCUGUAUAGUCUAGUCAAUGCUGCAAUGGAAGAAAUAUGUGCCCCAUCAAUUGUUGUUGAGUUGGAUGGCGAAAUGGGACGUCUUAAACUGAUUGUCAGAACAGCACCUUCAACAGCUGAUUGAAAUGGAUCUGCCUGUAUCUUGCAACUGCUUGGCAUCUCAACACAAACUGACCAAUGCAGAAUGCAAAAAUACGGUAUCGUGGUGAGGGAACAUGCAGCCAAAUGAUAGAUGAGGAGCUGGACAAUCUGGUGGACACAAUCAAGACAAGUUCACCACAAUUAGGAUGGUGAGAGAAUGUCUGAAAGUAGUGGGUCAUCGAGUCAGUGGACCCGAGUGUGGGACUCAGCGCAUCAUGUCGAUGCUGCAGGAAUACAGCAAAGAAUGGCACGACUUGGUUGUGUUGUCAGAACAUACUCUGUCCGGUGUCCUCUUUCCCUCAUACAUGUGGACACCAACCACACGUUGAUCAGCAUCUAGGGUGAGGACAGACUAAGGAGUGGAGAAUGUGGACAUCCCAAGAUGCAUGUUUCAUGUCUGUGGUUGUGGCAGGGGAAGCUUUAUCUCUGUUUGGAAGAUGAGGGCUCCCUUGAAGGCUGUUUGACGGGUCACCUAUUCUGUGCGCACUGUGUGCCUCCGAGCAGACCUAGACACCUUUACCAAUGGAUGGGAUAAACAUCCUCUGCACACCGAGCAAAAUCUGAUCCCCAACCAGCUAUGAUAAAGUACAGAAUCCUGUCACCUUCCCUGGCAAUGUGGAGGUAUAGAUUUUAAAAUGAUUUAAACAGCUUGGACGAUGCCUGCCUGCUGGGGGAGCAUGGCCAGGGAAUUGAGGUCCCACCAGUGGAGUGCCCAGGAUAUGACACUGCUCAAAGCAGCCAUUGACCCAACCUCACCAUCUCGAGACUAUGGACAAGAUAUUUAUGCAUCUGUUUUGAAGUAUGUGCUGCUACUGUUGGCUGUAUUAUCCUUAUACCGCUGCUUGAUACUGUCGCAAGGAAUUCGUCUAGUCCAGUAAUUCUAAAUUGCUGUAGUGUUAUGAAAUGUGUUCGCAGCAAAAUGAGACCAAUUGGCCUAUUUUUAAAAAUUAAAUUAAAAUAAUAAUAAUAAUGUUCUAUUUUUUUUAUUAAAUGUUAUUUGUUUAUCUUUAUGUAUUUUUGAUUGGAUAAAAUUUUCCACAACAUUAGUAACCAAAGAUUCAGUCAGACUAUUUUAAUUGUAUAAUAGAAUAGUCUUCAAACAAGGAGCUGCAGGGAAGAACUCAGAGUAAAUGGUUGCACGUCCCUUUAUGUAGUGAGAGGUAAUAAUACAAUCCUAUUGUUACAAGUUAUUUAUACAAGCAACAGUUCCAGAACACAAUGGCAUUGUGUUAGGGUGCAAGACAUACUAGGAGUCUAUGAAAGGCAUAUCACAGUCCAACACCGAAUAGGCUACAGAACAGCUCACCCCAAAUUCUGCCACCACACUAUGGACAAAGUUUAUUUAAAUAACUAAAAUACAAAUGGUUGCAGUCAUUAAAUGUAAAAAAUAAAUAAAAAAAAUGUUUUAACUACAUGGUAAACGGUGAUCCUUUUGAACAGAAAUUAAACCUUCAAAUAUAAACUAGCAACAGAAUGUCAAGUGAUUAAUCGGGUGUAGUAAUGACUAGGAUUCUAUGUUCAUAUGUAAGUGAUUGCUUUAUCUGCCGUCCCAAUGAAAACUAGUUUGAAAAUGAUAACAUUUUAUGGAAAAUAUAAAUGUCUCUGGACGAUGCACCGUGCUGCUUUGUUGACAAAAUGACGGACACUUCAUGGGCCAUAGACCUGCGGCUCAGGAUAAUGUGGGAUGUGCCACUUUGCUAUAUGAGGUCAAAAAAAGGGUAAAUAUUGUUUUGUCUUAUUUACAGUGAGUGUCUAAGGCCUACAUUUAAACAGUAUUUGUAUAAAAUACUUUAAAUAAUUUCUUAUGUGCCCCUGACCCAUCAGCCAUGGCAUAACUAUAGGGAUAGUGGGAACUGUUAAACUGGAUGGCUCCACUUCUUGUCCAUCUUUCUGUCCUACUAACUCACCGUGCACUGCCGCUUCCUUUUCCUCCAUUCCUCCUGAAACAAUUACCGGUGUGUGUUUUCUGGUGUCAAUGUGAAAAACAUUGCUUUGUUCAUAGUAUUAACUAUGGCUUUUGAAGGCAAAGUAAUUGGACUAUGUUACUAGGUGAGCAAUCCAAUAGAUGUUACCAUUUAUAAACUGGUAAUCAGCAACUGAACACAUUAUCUUCCCAGCCCUGUUGGUUUAUUACCAUUAAAUGUUGACAAUUUAAAAAAAUACAAAGGCUGACGCUCACCUGCAGUUUCCACAUCUUUAACAAAGUCCUUAAAGUUUGACUAUGGCAGCCUUGAAGGUUCCUCUCCCGCUCAUUUCAGGAGCGAUGUGGCCGACUACAGUGUCAGCAUUGGACUGGAGAAGGAUAAAUUAAAUGUAUAAAUAAAUCUGACUCAUACAACACAACUAGUAAUAAAACAUUAAUUAACUGCAAUCUUCCCCCAGGGACAGACUCUUGCAGAGAUUUGUCUGCUUCUGACAGAUUUCCAGGAAGCCGUAGACUGAAUAAAAGGUUUUCAGGCCUUUGUAUUCUUGCCUGGUGUUCUAGAAGAAGGGUUCAUUUUUCUUUUUUCAAUGGCAGCCUGCCUCCGGAAGAGGUUCAGAAAGGACCUUCAAGCAAAAGUGAGAAAAUUCACAUUGAUAAGGCUAUGUUUGAGUUGAUUUAAUUUAAGAAUUGUAAUGAGAAACGGUGUAGUGAGGUGGAAGAGGCAUACAAGAUAGGGUGUCACUAUCAGAAAGAGAGAGAUUUAAGUGUGCAUCACUAUGUAUCAGAGAGAGCAUGUCUAUUAAUCUUAUUUUGUGUCUGCAAAUGUGUAAAGUACCAAAAUAACAAUGUUGCAUGUGUAACAUGCAAAAAAGGUGUGAGUGCGUGAGACAUGAUGAGGAAAGUAAUGCAUCAUUUACAGAUUGGCUGAAUUUAUUAAUCGUCAAAAUAGGGUAGACCCUAUGAUGGGUUGAGUAUAGACAGCAAAAGUACACAUUUCCUGUAUUCUAAGACCAUUGAUAUGCACCUGGCCAUCCUGGUUACUGGAGUAAUGCAGCUAUCUCUGGGUUUGUCCCUGCACCUCUGUCAGCUGAUGAUGCCCCUGAACCAUGCAAUUGAUGUACCUGUGCUUGCUGAUGCAGUGGCACUGGACUCUGACACUUAUGACACUUGUCCGGGGGUGUCCUUGGAUGGGGCCACAGUGUCUCCUGACCCCUCCUGUCUCAGCCUCCAGUAUUUAUGCUGCAGUAGUUUAUGUGUCGGGGGGCUGGGGUCAGUUUGUUAUAUCUGGGGUACUUCUCAUGUCCUAUUCGGUGUCCUGUGUGAAUCUAAGUGUGCGUUCUCUAAUUCUCUCCUUCUCUCUCUCGGAGGACCUGAGCCCUAGGACCAUCUGACAUGAUGACUCCUUGCUGUCCCCAGUCCACCUGGCCAUGCUGCUGUUCCAGUUUCAACUGACCUGAGCCCUAGGACCAUGCCCCAGGACUACCUGACAUGAUGACUCCUUGCUGUCCCCAGUCCACCUGGCCAUGCUGCUGCUCCAGUUUCAACUGUUCUGCCUUAUUAUUAUUCGACCAUGCUGGUCAUUUAUGAACAUUUGAACAUCUUGGCCAUGUUCUGUUAUAAUCUCCACCCGGCACAGCCAGAAGAGGACUGGCCACCCCACAUGGCCUGGUUCCUCUCUAGGUUUCUUCCUAGGUUUUGGCCUUUCUAGGGAGUUUUUCCUAGCCACCGUGCUUCUACACCUGCAUUGCUUGCUGUUUGGGGUUUUAGGCUGGGUUUCUGUACAGCACUUUGAGAUAUCAGCUGAUGUACGAAGGGCUAUAUAAAUAAAUUUGAUUUGAUUUGAUAUUCAUAGUCUGGGUCAGCACAGAGAUGAGGCCAAAACCACCUCUGAAUACUCUGCUGUGAACAUCAGCUGGAUAUAUGGGGAAAUGCAUGAUCAUACUUGACCAAAUUGGAAUGUCUCUAGCUUAAAUAGCCAGCUAGUCCAGAAUAUUUUUCUAAGGGUAAUUCAGAUAUGACUAGUUUGAAAGUAUGCUUUCUGUAAACCAAGUAGCUGUCCGUAAAGGUCGAAAUGUGAUUUCAAUAUCAUGAUUUUAGUGUCGUCAUGGUGGAUACAUGUAACGUUACCUAGCUAGCUAACUGGAUACAUUAGUGAUGGGUCUAAAAUCAAAAUGGCUUAUUUCGACGUGACUUGGUUUAAUAAAAACAUGGACAAA
Long non-coding RNA from Oncorhynchus nerka (sockeye salmon), 5546 nucleotides. RefSeq lists it as uncharacterized. The transcript has 4 exons. Lineage: Eukaryota; Metazoa; Chordata; Actinopteri; Salmoniformes; Salmonidae. The record is from RefSeq and is a predicted model, not a curated record.